UACCAGCACCCCGAGUGGUCGGGACGAUUAUUGGGCCUAAAGCAUCCGUAGCCUGUUCUGCAAGUCCUCCGUUAAAUCCACCCGCUUAACGGAUGGGCUGCGGGGGAUACUGCAGAGCUAGGAGGCGGGAGAGGCAAACGGUACUCAGUGGGUAGGGGUAAAAUCCAUUGAUCUACUGAAGACCACCAGUGGCGAAGGCGGUUUGCCAGAACGCGCUCGACGGUGAGGGAUGAAAGCUGGGGGAGCAAACCGG
This 253-nucleotide ribosomal RNA is filed under the name uncultured bacterium. RNAcentral's name for it is "partial 16S ribosomal RNA". It matches the Rfam family "Archaeal small subunit ribosomal RNA", at positions 474 to 727 of the family's 1478-position model. The record is from RNAcentral.